CUAUGAUUCCUUGAUUUGCAGAUGUCCUGUGCUGGGCCUCCACAGCCUUGUGGGAGCUAUACCUCCCUCCCGCCUUUCUCUGGAGCAGCAGAGGGACCAGUACUGAUGGACAAGGGAACAAGUAAAAAAGAUGAGGAAACAAUGAGUAACCUUCGGGCAGGUCCCAUGCCAAAUCCUUGUUCUGUCUACAACAACAACCACAACAACAACAAAUAGAAAACUGCUUACUUUGGCCCGAUUCAAGCAUUUUUCUCGAGCUGAUAUUAAAUAUUUCAUCCUCAA
This is a long non-coding RNA of Columba livia (rock pigeon), 282 nucleotides long. RefSeq lists it as uncharacterized. The record is from RefSeq and is a predicted model, not a curated record. Lineage: Eukaryota; Metazoa; Chordata; Aves; Columbiformes; Columbidae. The transcript has 2 exons.